AGAAUGAACGCUGGCGGCGUGCUUUACACAUGCAAGUCGAGCGAGGCGGGUAGCAAUACCCAGUCGAGCGGCGAACGGGUGAGUAACACGUGGAUCAUCUACCUUCAGGUGGGGGAUAACCCGGGGAAACUCGGGCUAAUACCGCAUAACAUCGCGAGGUCAAGGGCGGCAAGUCCCGCCAGAAGAGGAGUCCGCGUUCGAUUAGCUAGUUGGUAGGGUAAUGGCCUACCAAGGCCACGAUCGAUAGCCGGCCUGAGGGGUGGAUCGGCCACACUGGAACUGAGACACGGUCCGAGACUCCUACGGGAGGCAGCAGUGGGGAAUUUUGCGCAAUGGGCGAAAGCCUGACGCAGCAAACGCCGCGUGGAGGAAUGAAGGUACUUUGGAUUGUAAAACUCCUGUCAGCAAGGGAAAAAAGGGUACGUGGCCGAACCACCCAAGAAUCGAUUAGGAUUGUACCUGCAGAAGAAGCCCCGGCCUAACUCUGUGCCAGCAGCCGC
This 500-nucleotide ribosomal RNA is filed under the name uncultured soil bacterium. Its description in RNAcentral is "bacterial SSU rRNA". It matches the Rfam family "Bacterial small subunit ribosomal RNA", at positions 26 to 518 of the family's 1533-position model. The record is from RNAcentral.